GAUGAACGCUGGCGGCGUGCCUAAUACAUGCAAGUAGAGCGAACGGACGAGAAGCUUGCUUUUCUGAUGUUAGCGGCGGACGGGUGAGUAACACGUGGAUAACCUACCUAUAAGACUGGGAUAACUUCGGGAAACCGGAGCUAAUACCGGAUAAUAUUUUGAACCGCAUGGUUCAAAAGUGAAAGACGGUCUUGCUGUCACUUAUAGAUGGAUCCGCGCUGCAUUAGCUAGUUGGUAAGGUAACGGCUUACCAAGGCAACGAUGCAUAGCCGACCUGAGAGGGUGAUCGGCCACACUGGAACUGAGACACGGUCCAGACUCCUACGGGAGGCAGCAGUAGGGAAUCUUCCGCAAUGGGCGAAAGCCUGACGGAGCAACGCCGCGUGAGUGAUGAAGGUCUUCGGAUCGUAAAACUCUGUUAUUAGGGAAGAACAUAUGUGUAAGUAACUGUGCACAUCUUGACGGUACCUAAUCAGAAAGCCACGGCUAACUACGUG
RNAcentral lists this ribosomal RNA (497 nucleotides) under uncultured bacterium. RNAcentral's name for it is "partial 16S ribosomal RNA". It matches the Rfam family "Bacterial small subunit ribosomal RNA", at positions 28 to 507 of the family's 1533-position model. The record is from RNAcentral.